GACGAACGCUGGCGGCGUGCUUAACACAUGCAAGUCGAGCGGUAAGGCCCUUUCGGGGGUACACGAGCGGCGAACGGGUGAGUAACACGUGGGUGACCUGCCCUCAGCUCUGGGAUAAGCCUGGGAAACCGGGUCUAAUACUGGAUAUGACUCCAUGACGCAUGUUGUGGGGUGGAAAGCCUUGUGCGGCUGAGGAUGGGGCCCGCGGCCUAUCAGCUUGUUGGUGGGGGUGANGGCCUACCAAGGCGACGACGGGGUAGCCGGCCUGAGAGGGCGACCGGCCACACUGGGACUGAGACACGGCCCAGACUCCUACGGGAGGCAGCAGUGGGGAAUCUUGCGCAAUGGGCGAAAGCCUGACGCAGCGACGCCGCGUGAGGGAU
Molecule: ribosomal RNA, 383 nt
Filed under: uncultured bacterium
Lineage: Bacteria
Description: bacterial SSU rRNA
Rfam family: Bacterial small subunit ribosomal RNA
Source: RNAcentral